Molecule: transfer RNA, 72 nt
Filed under: Dreissena polymorpha
Lineage: Eukaryota; Metazoa; Mollusca; Bivalvia; Myida; Dreissenidae
Rfam family: tRNA
About the family: Transfer RNA (tRNA) molecules are approximately 80 nucleotides in length. Their secondary structure includes four short double-helical elements and three loops (D, anti-codon, and T loops).
Source: Rfam by way of RNAcentral
UCCUCGAUAGUAUAGUUGUAAGUAUCCCAGCCUGUCACACGGGAGACCAGGUUUCGAUUCCCUGACGGGGAG